This 465-nucleotide ribosomal RNA is filed under the name Vreelandella stevensii. Its description in RNAcentral is "partial 16S ribosomal RNA". It matches the Rfam family "Bacterial small subunit ribosomal RNA", at positions 338 to 795 of the family's 1533-position model. The record is from RNAcentral. Lineage: Bacteria; Pseudomonadati; Pseudomonadota; Gammaproteobacteria; Oceanospirillales; Halomonadaceae.
CCUACGGGGUGCUGCAGUGGGGAAUAUUGGACAAUGGGCGAAAGCCUGAUCCAGCCAUGCCGCGUGUGUGAAGAAGGCCUUCGGGUUGUAAAGCACUUUCAGUGGGGAAGAAAGCCUUGGGGCUAAUACCCUCGAGGAAGGACAUCACCCACAGAAGAAGCACCGGCUAACUCCGUGCCAGCAGCCGCGGUAAUACGGAGGGUGCGAGCGUUAAUCGGAAUUACUGGGCGUAAAGCGCGCGUAGGCGGUCUGAUAAGCCGGUUGUGAAAGCCCCGGGCUCAACCUGGGAACGGCAUCCGGAACUGUCAGGCUAGAGUGCAGGAGAGGAAGGUAGAAUUCCCGGUGUAGCGGUGAAAUGCGUAGAGAUCGGGAGGAAUACCAGUGGCGAAGGCGGCCUUCUGGACUGACACUGACGCUGAGGUGCGAAAGCGUGGGUAGCAAACAGGACUAGAUACCCUAGUAGUC